RNAcentral lists this unclassified non-coding RNA (247 nucleotides) under plant metagenome. RNAcentral describes it as "partial contains small subunit ribosomal RNA, internal transcribed spacer 1, and 5.8S ribosomal RNA". The stretch from base 1 to 54 matches the Rfam family "Eukaryotic small subunit ribosomal RNA", at positions 1778 to 1831 of the family's 1831-position model. The record is from RNAcentral.
GGAAGUAAAAGUCGUAACAAAGUCUCCGUUGGUGAACCAGCGGAGGGAUCAUUACAGGACUCGCAAGACUCCUACAACCCUGUGAACUUAACUAUAAGCACGUUGCUUCGGCGGGUGUCUCGGAGGGGGUUCUCCCUCCCCGAGACGCUAAACCCGCCGGCAGCCUACUAUACUCUGUCUCUUUGCGUUGGCAUCUCGAGUACAAUCAAACAAGUUAAAACUUUCAACAACGGAUCUCUUGGUUCUG